GUAGGGAAUAUUGGGCAAUGGUCGGAAGACUGACCCAGCCAUGCCGCGUGCAGGAAGACGGCCCUCUGGGUUGUAAACUGCUUUUAUCUGGGAAGAAAAAGGCCAUGCGUGGCAAAUUGCCGGUACCAGAUGAAUAAGCACCGGCUAACUCCGUGCCAGCAGCCGCGGUAAUACGGAGGGUGCGAGCGUUGUCCGGAUUUAUUGGGUUUCAAGGGUGCGUAGGCGGCUGAUUAAGUCAGCGGUGAAAGACUUCGGCUUAACCGGAGCAGUGCCGUUGAUACUGGUUGGCUUGAGUGUCGGAGGGGUACAUGGAAUUGAUGGUGUAGCGGUGAAAUGCAUAGAUACCAUCAGGAACACCGAUAGCGAAGGCAUUGUACUGGCCGACAACUGACGCUGAUGCACGAAAGUGUGGGGAUCGAACAGGAUUAGAAACCCGGGUAGUCC
This 444-nucleotide ribosomal RNA is filed under the name uncultured bacterium. RNAcentral's name for it is "partial 16S ribosomal RNA". It matches the Rfam family "Bacterial small subunit ribosomal RNA", at positions 354 to 796 of the family's 1533-position model. The record is from RNAcentral.